UCCAAUCCACCAUGGUCCUCGUAUCUGG
Molecule: small RNA, 28 nt
Filed under: Bombyx mori (domestic silkworm)
Lineage: Eukaryota; Metazoa; Arthropoda; Insecta; Lepidoptera; Bombycidae
Description: ovarian small RNA-26584
Source: RNAcentral